UGCAAAGUGGCGGUGCUCCGAACAUUCCACUGAUACACGUGCAAACUGGAUGAUCCUCUUGCACACGACACUCGGCGUUCGGGCCACAGGGCGAUGGUAAACAAGGAUUCUUUGGUCUUGGCAGUGGUAUAUCUGACAAAGAAAAGAGACCAGGGCAAGGAUCACCACAUUUUUGACCGAUGCAAGCCAAGUGUGCAGGACACUCUGAGCUAACUAGACAUUCUGGACGACAAUUAGGCGACGUUCCAUGAUAUCCUGGACUGCACGAACAAACGGCACGAUCGUUCAUCACGCGACAGAUACUGUGCGGUCCGCAAGGUGAUGGCAUGCAAGGAUUCUGAGAUGGAAGAGCUGGAAGAACCGAUUGAAAUUCAAUUUUACUCUCUAAAUAGAUUCUGCAAUGACAACUAAACAAAUAAAACUUUUUAUAAUACAAUUACAAUGGUCCGGACCCAAUAAUUAUAAAGACUUACGAGACGUCUCGAGUUUGCAAGAGCCAAACGGAUCGCCGGUGUAGCCAGGUAAGCAAGAACAAACUGGAACAUGAUCAACCACUUCGCAU
This is a long non-coding RNA of Bombus huntii, 562 nucleotides long. RefSeq lists it as uncharacterized. The transcript is spliced from 3 exons. The record is from RefSeq and is a predicted model, not a curated record. Lineage: Eukaryota; Metazoa; Arthropoda; Insecta; Hymenoptera; Apidae.